Molecule: transfer RNA, 72 nt
Filed under: Fukomys damarensis (Damara mole-rat)
Lineage: Eukaryota; Metazoa; Chordata; Mammalia; Rodentia; Bathyergidae
Rfam family: tRNA
About the family: Transfer RNA (tRNA) molecules are approximately 80 nucleotides in length. Their secondary structure includes four short double-helical elements and three loops (D, anti-codon, and T loops).
Source: Rfam by way of RNAcentral
UUUGAUGUAGCUUAGUGGUACAGUGCAUGCCUGGCAAGUGCAAGGCCCUGAGUUUGAUUCUCAGUACAAAAA